GGAAUCAUGUGAGACAAGGGUGGUGGCCGCUCUGGAGGUGCCUGGGGGGUUCCCUCAUUACCCCUCUGGGCUUAGUCCAUCCUCCACACUGUUGUGCAGCUUCUCCACCUCCUGGUAGAGGAUAAAUACUGUUACCCUUAUCCCUGGUCACAUCCAGGGAGACGCGGUCCAGCGGCCCAGGCGGGGGACAGUGCCGUUCUAGAGGUCCUUGAGCCCCUCCUUCCUCAGGAUCUGCAGCCAUAGGCCGGUGUGUUCCGCGUUUGUGCUGCUCCAGGCCCCGCAUCCGGUCUCGAUCCCAUCCAGAGGAGCGUUUCCCAAGACACUGGCUGCGCCCACAAUGGCUCCGAAGACCCCAGCGACCAGCGGGUCCAUGGGCUUGCUGGGGUUGUCCCCUCGGUACCAGCUGUGCAGGGAGGUCAGGAGGAGAAGCAGACGGCCUGGUUCCAGCCCUGCUUUAGCGUGGGUGCCAUGAGGCCCCGACGUUUAAAGUAUUGCUGUGUGUUUCAAGUGGAGGAGGUCAUAUUACAACUGACAUUUGUCCUUGACUACUGGACAUAUCACACCAGCCCUGAUUGCAGUUAUACUUGAAGCCAGAUCUACCCUUAACGUAUAUUCAUUUUACUAUUCAAUAAAUAUUAACUUAUCAUGAAUGGU
RNAcentral lists this long non-coding RNA (654 nucleotides) under Homo sapiens (human). RNAcentral's name for it is "non-protein coding lnc-ZNF727-18:3". Lineage: Eukaryota; Metazoa; Chordata; Mammalia; Primates; Hominidae. The record is from RNAcentral.